AUCUCUCCUUGCAAGUACACAAUAUUGGGCUCCGAUGACUGAAGCACUCGCUGGAAUUCAUCAGUGCCUGGAUUAGUCAGUGACUGGACCUCAAGACGCCCAGAAGAAGCAAGUUCAGGAAAAGGGUAUCUGGGUUUAUCACCAGAGGGAGGCUGCUUCUGCUUACUAUCAGGGGUUUUGCUAGAGAGGACUGCAAGGAGACUGCAAUGAUUC
RNAcentral lists this unclassified non-coding RNA (213 nucleotides) under Hevea brasiliensis (rubber tree). Lineage: Eukaryota; Viridiplantae; Streptophyta; Magnoliopsida; Malpighiales; Euphorbiaceae. The record is from RNAcentral.